ACCCAGACUCCUACGGGAGGCAGCAGUAGGGAAUCUUUCACAAUGGGCGAAAGCCUGAUGGAGCAACGCCGCGUGCAGGAUGGAGGCCUUCGGGUUGUAAACUGCUUUUAUAAGCGAGAAAUAUGAUGGUAACUUAUGAAUAAGGAUCGGCUAACUACGUGCCAGCAGCCGCGGUCAUACGUAGGAUCCGAGCAUUAUCCGGAGUGACUGGGUGUAAAGAGUUGCGUAGGCGGGAUAGCAAGUCAGAUGUGAAAUCCUAUGGCUUAACCAUAGAACUGCAUUUGAAACUGUUAUUCUAGAGUAUGGGAGAGGUAGGUGGAAUUCUUGGUGUAGGGGUAAAAUCCGUAGAGAUCAAGAGGAAUACUCAUUGCGAAGGCGACCUGCUAGAACAUAACUGACGCUGAUGCGCGAAAGCGUGGGGAGCAAACAGGAUUAGAUACCCUUGUA
This 447-nucleotide ribosomal RNA is filed under the name uncultured bacterium. RNAcentral describes it as "bacterial SSU rRNA". It matches the Rfam family "Bacterial small subunit ribosomal RNA", at positions 329 to 792 of the family's 1533-position model. The record is from RNAcentral.